Molecule: ribosomal RNA, 1356 nt
Filed under: uncultured bacterium
Lineage: Bacteria
Description: bacterial SSU rRNA
Rfam family: Bacterial small subunit ribosomal RNA
Source: RNAcentral
AUUGAACGCUGGCGGUAGGCUUAACACAUGCAAGUCGUGCGAGAAAGUAUCUUCGGAUAUGAGUAGAGCGGCGGACGGGUGAGUAACGCGUAGGAAUCUACCUAGUAGAAGGGGAUAGCCCGGGGAAACCCGGAUUAAUACCGUAUACCUCCUUCGGGAGAAAGAAGGCCUCUCUUUGAAGCUUUCGCUAUUAGAUGAGCCUGCGUAAGAUUAGCUUGUUGGUGAGGUAAAGGCUCACCAAGGCGACGAUCUUUAGCUGGUCUGAGAGGACGAUCAGCCACAUUGGGACUGAGACACGGCCCAGACUCCUACGGGAGGCAGCAGUGGGGAAUAUUGGACAAUGGGCGCAAGCCUGAUCCAGCCAUACCGCGUGUGUGAAGAAGGCCUUCGGGUUGUAAAGCACUUUAAGCAGGGAGAAAAAGUUAUAAGUUAAUACCUUAUAACCCUGAUGUUACCUGCAGAAUAAGCACCGGCUAAUUCCGUGCCAGCAGCCGCGGUAAUACGGAAGGUGCAAGCGUUAAUCGGAAUUACUGGGCGUAAAGCGCGCGUAGGUGGUUUGUUAAGUUGGAUGUGAAAGCCCUGGGCUCAACCUAGGAACUGCAUCCAAAACUAACUCACUAGAGUACGAUAGAGGGAGGUAGAAUUCAUAGUGUAGCGGUGGAAUGCGUAGAUAUUAUGAAGAAUACCAGUGGCGAAGGCGGCCUCCUGGAUCUGUACUGACACUGAGGUGCGAAAGCGUGGGUAGCGAACAGGAUUAGAUACCCUGGUAGUCCACGCCGUAAACGAUGACAACUAGCUGUUGGGAGACUAUGUCUUUCAGUGGCGCAGCUAACGCUUUAAGUUGUCCGCCUGGGGAGUACGGCCGCAAGGCUAAAACUCAAAUGAAUUGACGGGGACCCGCACAAGCGGUGGGGCAUGUGGUUUAAUUCGAUGCAACGCGAAAAACCUUACCUACUCUUGACAUACUUGGAGGCUCUUGUAAUGAGAGUGUGCCUUUUGGAACCAAGAUACAGGUGCUGCAUGGCUGUCGUCAGCUCGUGUCGUGAGAUGUUCCGUUAAGUCGGAUAACGAGCGCAACCCUUACCCUUAUUUGCCAGCGAUUCGGUCGGGAACUAUAAGGGGACUGCCGGUGAUAAACCGGAGGAAGGUGAGGACGACGUCAAGUCAUCAUGGCCCUUACGAGUAGGGCUACACACGUGCUACAAUGGGAGAUACAGACGGACGCUAAGCCGCGAGGUGGUGCUAAUCCUAAAAAGUCUUUCGUAGUCCGGAUUGGAGUCUGCAACUCGACUCCAUGAAGUCGGAAUCGCUAGUAAUCGCGGAUCAGCAUGCCGCGGUGAAUACGUUCUCGGGUCU